RNAcentral lists this non-coding RNA (482 nucleotides) under Brassica napus (rape). Its description in RNAcentral is "Eukaryotic small subunit ribosomal RNA". It matches the Rfam family "Eukaryotic small subunit ribosomal RNA", at positions 477 to 927 of the family's 1831-position model. Lineage: Eukaryota; Viridiplantae; Streptophyta; Magnoliopsida; Brassicales; Brassicaceae. The record is from Rfam by way of RNAcentral.
AGGCUACUCUGGUAGCCAAGAUGCACUCUCAAUGGUUUAGAGGUUCGGUCAGUGUAUAGACCGAGCGACGUGAGGCAUCGACCGCUGCCUAGUCGUCCGGGAUCGGGUCUUACAAGUCUGGUGCCAACAGCCGCGGUAAUUCCAGCUCCAAUAGCGUAUAUUUAAGUUGUUGCAGUUAAAAAGUUCGUAGUUAAACAUUGGGAUGGGUCGCCCGGUCCGCCUUCGGUGAGCACCGGUCGGCUUGUCUCUUCUGUCGGUGAUAUGCUCCUGGCCUUAACUGGCGGAGUCGUGCCUCCGGCGCUGUUACUUUGAAGAAGUUAGAGUGCUGAAAGCAAGCCUACGCUCUAUAUACAUUAGUAUGGGAUAACAUCAUAGGAUUUAGAUCCUAUUGCGUUGGCCUUCGUUAUCGGAGUAAUGAUUAACAGGGACAGUCGGUGUGACACCCCCAAUCUUAGAUGACCAGAAAUGACACGGUCGAUGUU